GUGCUCACUUCAGCAGCACAUACACUAGAGUUGGAACGAUACGGAGUUUAGCACGGCCCCUGAGCAAGGAUGAAACACAAAUGCACAAGGUGUUCCCUUUUUUU
Molecule: small nuclear RNA, 104 nt
Filed under: Propithecus coquereli (Coquerel's sifaka)
Lineage: Eukaryota; Metazoa; Chordata; Mammalia; Primates; Indriidae
Source: RNAcentral